GAUGGGCUCGCGGCCUAUUAGUUAGUUGGUGAGGUAACGGCUCACCAAGGCGAUGACGGGUAGCCGGUCUGAGAGGAUGUCCGGCCACACUGGAACUGAGACACGGCCCAGACUCCUACGGGAGGCAGCAGUGGGGAAUAUUGGGCAAUGGGCGCAAGCCUGACCCAGCAACGCCGCGUGAAGGAUGAAGGCUUUCGGGUUGUAAACUUCUUUUGUCGGGGACGAGUAGAAGACGGUACCUGGCGAAUAAGCCACGGCUAACUACGUGCCAGCAGCCGCGGUAAUACGUAGGUGGCAAGCGUUGUCCGGAUUUACUGGGUGUAAAGGGCGUGUAGCCGGGAAGGCAAGUCAGAUGUGAAAUCCACGGGCUUAACUCGUGAACUGCAUUUGAAACUACUUUUCUUGAGUAUCGGAGAGGCAAUCGGAAUUCCUAGUGUAGCGGUGAAAUGCGUAGAUAUUAGGAGGAACACCAGUGGCGAAGGCGGAUUGCUGGACGACAACUGACGGUGAGGCGCGAAAGCGUGGGGAGCAAACCAGGAUUAGAUACCCUGGUAGUCCACGCUGUAAACGAUGAAUACUAGGUGGUGCGGGGGACGGACCCCCUGGCUGCCGCAGUUAACACAAUAAGUAUUCCCACCUGGGGGAGUACGAUCGCAAGGUUGAAACUCAAAGGAAUUGACGGGGGCCUGCACAAGCGGUGGAUUAUGUGGUUUAAUUCGGCGCAACGCGAAGAAACCUUACCAGGGCUUGACAUCCUACUAACGAAGUAGAGAUACAUCAGGUGCCCUUCGGGGAAAGUUGAGACAGGUGGUGCAUGGUUGUCGUCAGCUCGUGUCGUGAGAUGUUGGGUUAAGUCCCGCAACGAGCGCAACCCCUAUUGUUAGUUGCUACGCAAGAGCACUCUAGCGAGACUGCCGUUGACAAAACGGAGGAAGGUGGGGACGACGUCAAAUCAUCAUGCCCCUUAUGUCCUGGGCUACACACGUAAUACAAUGGCGGUCAACAGAGGGAUGCAAAACCGUAAGGUGGAGCGAACCCCUAAAAGCCGUCUCAGUUCAGAAAGUGGGCUGCAACCCGCCCACAUGAAGUCGGAAUCGCUAGUAAUCGCGGAUCAGCAUGCCGCGGUGAAUAAAAUCCCGGGCCUUGCACACACCGCCCGUCA
This 1162-nucleotide ribosomal RNA is filed under the name uncultured bacterium. RNAcentral describes it as "bacterial SSU rRNA". It matches the Rfam family "Bacterial small subunit ribosomal RNA", at positions 224 to 1399 of the family's 1533-position model. The record is from RNAcentral.